Oncorhynchus tshawytscha (Chinook salmon) is the source of this 2175-nucleotide long non-coding RNA. Lineage: Eukaryota; Metazoa; Chordata; Actinopteri; Salmoniformes; Salmonidae. The record is from Ensembl.
AAACAAUCAAAGAUUGAUGCGUUGGUAAAUUGAAUCAGCUGUGUAGUGCUAGGGAAAAACACCAAACAUUCACCUGGGGGCCCAGGACCGACUAUGGGAACGUUGGGCUAGAGUGCACAUGCCAAGGCCAGAGUAGGCAUAUUUGCUAUUUAAUUAAUGCAACAGUUUUAGUGAAAAAACUAUCGGUAGAGUUGAAAAUGCGAUGGAAACAUGUUGAACUAUAAGCUUUUUUUUUAGCUCUCUGAUUUUGUUCCGCAAAAAGUACAUUUGGUUGAAACCCCACUGGUGUGGAAAAGGCGCAUAUUUACUUUUUGCUUAUUCUGCAGUAUUCACUUAAAUCUGCCGCCAAUUGGACAGAAACCUAGCUCGUCGAGCUGUAUGCGAUUGAAUGUAGUAACCACCGGGGCGGCAGGGUAGCCUAGUGGUUAGAGCGUUGGACUUGUAACCGCAAGGUUGCAAGUUCAAACCCCCGAGCUGACAAGGUACAAAUCUGCUGUUCUGCCCCUGAACAGGCAGUUAACCCACUGUUCCUAGGCCGUCAUUGAAAAUAAGAAUUUGUUCUUCACUGACUUGCUUGGGUAAAAAAAAAAAUGCGUAUUUGCAUGCCUUAAAUUGUCCUUCAAAGAUUCCGUAGGUGAUCCUUAUAAAUAGACACCACCCCGUUUUUCGUUCUCUUGUUCUCACUCAGAAGUCUGAGCAUGUCUCCAAGGUGAAGAGUACAAUGAGGAAGAUUAGAUGCCACCAUGACCUAUUGGUGUCACUGUCCAAGCAAAUGGCACAUGAACGUAGCAGUAAGGCCUGCCUUUUCUCCGUGAAAGAAUAUAGUGAUAAAGGGUGGUGCAGCACUGCUUGCUGACUUACUGGUUAGUGGGUCAUGAUGUGACUCCACAAUGGAUGUGAAGUUGCCAAUGCGAAAUUGGUAUACCGCUGGUUGGUGUCCUAGCGGCUGUGACCUGGAAGUAGCAGAAUGAUUGCCGCCUUUCCUCCCUGAAAGAAUGCUGUGCAGUGUGCACAUAACAGCGAUAAAGGAUGGUCUGGAGGUGCAGCAGUGCUGACCUACUGGUUAUAGUGGGUCAUGAUGAGGCGCCACAAGCCACGGUAAGUCCUUGCUGAGUUUGGUUAUGCACUGGCUAAAUGUCUUGUUCUCCUAGCAAUCUGCCCCUUGAGGUGUUGCAGUCCGACUGUACGUGUUGAGCCUGUGUCAUGAGGGGCGGAGAGUGACAGGGCUAUGUCUACGCCAAGGACCCAGAACAGUGGGUACUUGGAGUGAUCAUAGCGCCAACAUUGGCAGCAGUAUAUGAAAUGUAAUGCAGAUGUAACCUGGAAGUAGCAGAAUAAUUGCCGCCUUUCCUCCCUGAAAGAAUGCUGUGCACAGAACGAGUCUGACAGUGUGGGGUUGACAUGGCGCCACAGGUCAUUGUAAGUCUGCCUCAUUUGGUUACACACUGGCUAAAUGUAUAUUGGUCUCAUCGAAAUCUGCCCCUUGAGGUGUUGCAGUCCGACUAUGUGUUGAGCCUGUGUCAUGAGGGGCGGAGAGUAACCGGGCUACGUCUACGCCAAGGACCCAGGACAGUGGGUACUUUGCAUGACUAUGGCGCCGAUAUUGGGACCCAUUUUAGACCAGCAGACAAAUGUCAACUUCUAGUGCUUGAACAGGUGGCCGAGUGCUUGAUUUAAGCUCCCUCGGUAGUUUAGCUUGUUUUGCCAAAACCACUUAUUACUGACUGGUAAUUGCCAUUGGGCCAAUACUUAGUUGAUUCAACUAACCUGAGGUUUUAUGACUUGGUCACUUUUUUUAAAGGGUUGCCAGGUUUUUUAUAUUAUUCUCACCAAUUUCCUGAUUUGAUCGAUGGGACAGGUGCUGAAGAACGACUGAAGAUUGGCCUGUUGAAGAUGAAAGGUGGCAGUACCUUAGAAGAAAGCAGAUUGUUCAGUUGCCAGUCCUAGACUAGGGUGCCAUCUGAUUGUGUAUGCAGCUGCCACUAUUAUAGCCGUUAGAUGCCGUUAAUCACAGCAAGCUCAGUUUUAGUUUCUGGUUAUCACGUGAAAACCCUUUACUCUGGGUGACCUAGGUGAAAUUGGCUCAACAAAUAUUAAUUAAACAUACCUGCCCUGUUCGAUUUGAAUAAAUGUAUUGCUUUCAAGAUAAUUAAAAUAAACUCAAGCUGAUCUCAG